GGCUUUUCUCCCUUCGGGGAGGCGCGAAUCCUCAGGGGCUCCUUGAGAGGGCGCCAGGGAGCAGCUGCGCGCGGAUGCCUUUCGGCCCUCUGCGGCCGCCGUAGCUCCCCGUCAGAAACCCGGAAGUGGAACUCUCAGCCAUUCAGCGUUUGGGUGAAGACGGAGGCGGGUUCUAGAGAGACGUAGGCUGUCAGGGAGUGUUUAUUUCGCGUCCGCUUCUGUUUCUCCGCGCCCCUGUGCUGCCCCGACUCACAUACUCGUCCAGAGCCGGCCUCAGCCUCUCCGCGCAGAAGUCUCCCGGAGCCAUGGCCGAGUACUCCUAUGUGAAGUCUACCAAGCUCGUGCUCAAGGGAACCAAGACGAAGAGUAAGAAGAAAAAGAGCAAAGAUAAGAAAAGAAAAAGAGAAGAAGAUGAAGAAACCCAGCUUGAUAUUGUUGGAAUCUGGUGGACAGUAACAAACUUUGGUGAAAUUUCAGGAACCAUAGCCAUUGAAAUGGAUAAGGGAACCUAUAUACAUGCACUCGACAAUGGUCUUUUUACCCUGGGAGCUCCACACAAAGAAGUUGAUGAGGGCCCUAGUCCUCCAGAGCAGUUUACGGCUGUCAAAUUAUCUGAUUCCAGAAUCGCCCUGAAGUCUGGCUACGGAAAAUAUCUUGGUAUAAAUUCAGAUGGACUUGUUGUUGGGCGUUCAGAUGCAAUUGGACCAAGAGAACAAUGGGAACCAGUCUUUCAAAAUGGGAAAAUGGCUUUGUUGGCCUCAAAUAGCUGCUUUAUUAGAUGCAAUGAAGCAGGGGACAUAGAAGCAAAAAGUAAAACAGCAGGAGAAGAAGAAAUGAUCAAGAUUAGAUCCUGUGCUGAAAGAGAAACCAAGAAAAAAGAUGACAUUCCAGAAGAAGACAAAGGAAAUGUAAAACAAUGUGAAAUCAAUUAUGUGUAUGUAUUCUUUUCCUUUUAGACCUACAGAUUUGACAGUGAAGUGCUUCUCAAAGUGCUUUCAAAAUAAAUUACCUACUUAGCUGGGCAUGGUGGUACAUGCCUAUAGGCCCAGCUACUCGGGAGGCUGAGACAGGAGGAUUGUUUGAGCCCAGGAGUUCAAGGCUGCAGUGAGCUCUGAUCACCACUGCCUUCCAGCCUGGGUGGCAGAGCAAGACCGUGUCUGAAAAAAUGAAACUGAUGGACAAGAAGAGACGACACAAUGUAGCCUCUAGGACAGAGCACUGAGCUAAAUGCUUUUCUUUUCUUGAGGCUUCAGUUUUCCUAAUCAUCCUACCACCUCCCAAAGCUAGUCACUCAGAAAGAAAUUUCAGAGCUUCCAAGACCACAAACUUAAAAUAAGUAAAGAAGACAGUAAAAUUCUUAAAAAGGCUCGGAAAGAUGGAUUUUUGCAUGAGACGCUUCUGGACAGGAGAGCCAAAUUGAAAGCCGACAGAUACUGCAAGUGACUGGGAUUUUUGUUUCUGCCUUAUCUUUCUGUGUUUUUUUCUGAAUAAAAUAUUCAGAGGAAAUGCUUUUA
This is an RNA transcript of Pan troglodytes (chimpanzee), 1514 nucleotides long. It is a transcript of the gene named FSHD region gene 1, with no coding region annotated. The record is from RefSeq and is a predicted model, not a curated record. Lineage: Eukaryota; Metazoa; Chordata; Mammalia; Primates; Hominidae. The transcript has 9 exons.